RNAcentral lists this long non-coding RNA (968 nucleotides) under Homo sapiens (human). Its description in RNAcentral is "HSALNT0352196". The record is from RNAcentral. Lineage: Eukaryota; Metazoa; Chordata; Mammalia; Primates; Hominidae.
CAAAAGCAGGGUAGGGCUCCAGCUAAGCCACGUAGGCACUACGAUGGGCAACAGAAAGGUUGGUUUCUGGGCAAUUCAGAGAAACCAAGGACAGCUACCCCCAGAACUCAGAGUAGCCAACUGGGCUGCUCACAGGAGAUGCCUUAACUGAAAGGUGAUCAGACUCCACAGGAGACCCAGAGAAGAUGUGGAGGGAGCUCAGAGGCUGUCCUGGAGGAGACGUGGAGACAGCUCAGAGGCUGUCCCAGAGAAGACGUGGAAAGAGCUCAGAGGCUGUCCCAGAGAAGACGUGGAGAGCUCAGAGGAUGUCCCAGAGAAGACGUGGAGAGAGUUCAGAGGCUGUCCCGGAGAAGACGUGGAAAGAGCUCAGAAACUCAGAGACUGUCCCGGAGAAGACAUGGAAACAGCUCAGAGGCUGUCUGCAAGAAGACGUGCAGAGAGUUCAGAGGCUGUCCCGGAGAAGACAUGGAGAGAGCUCAAAGGCUGUCCACAAGAAGAUGUGGAGAGAGUUCAGAGGCUGUCGUUACUGCUGCACUUGGCUGUUUUUCUUUGGAUAAUUAUUGCAAUCAAUUUUAGUAAUUCAGGUGUUAAAUCACAGUCAAGCACCUAUUUACCUAGUGAAUCUAGAUUGUAUUUGUCUUUGGAAACAGUCACAGCCACUUCCAGAGGUCAUUUCCCAUAGACCCCAAACUUCUCUUCUCCCAGCCUUGGAGGUGCUGGGUUCUAGAAGGAGGAGGCAGUGAGUCCAGAAGCCCAGCCAUAUCAGGAUGACAUCUACCAUUCAUCUGUCCUCGUGUGUCUUCAGCGCCUCUUUCACAUGUCUGUGUCCUUAGAGCUUGCUGGAACCAUCUUUGCUUGUCUCUGUGUAUUCUGAGUCUGUGACUAUUUGGCUCUAGGAGUCUUCUCAACAAAGUACAAUUUCUGUUGUCUUUUUCCAAAAAACUUUAUGAAUAAAAUGAAAAUAUGAG